CCCUUAGAUGUUCUGGGCCGCACGCGCGCUACACUGACUGGUGCAACAAGUGUCUGACCUUGGCUCGAGAGGCCUGGGCAACCUUUGAACGCCAGUCGUGCUGGGGAUAGAUUCUUGCAAUUAUUAAUCUUCAACGAGGAAUUCCUAGUAAACGCAAGUCAUCAGCUUGCAUUGAUUACGUCCCUGCCCUUUGUACACACCGCCCGUCGCACCUACCGAUUGAAUGGUCCGGUGAAAUCCUCGGGACGGCGGCUUGGUCGCUUGCGUCCGACUGCUGAAACUUGAUUAAACCAUAUCAUUUAGAGGAAGGUGAAGUCGUAACA
RNAcentral lists this ribosomal RNA (323 nucleotides) under uncultured eukaryote. Its description in RNAcentral is "partial 18S ribosomal RNA". It matches the Rfam family "Eukaryotic small subunit ribosomal RNA", at positions 1470 to 1796 of the family's 1831-position model. The record is from RNAcentral.